UACGAAGGGGGCAAGCGUUGUUCGGAAUUACUGGGCGUAAAGGGCGCGUAGGCGGCUUAUCAAGUCAGGCGUGAAAUUCCCGGGCUCAACCUGGGGGCUGCGCUUGAUACUGAUGAGCUUGAAUGCGGGAGAGGAUAGUGGAAUUCCCAGUGUAGAGGUGAAAUUCGUAGAUAUUGGGAAGAACACCGGUGGCGAAGGCGGCUAUCUGGCCCGUAAUUGACGCUGAGGCGCGAAAGCGUGGGGAGCAAACAGGAUUAGAUACCCCCGUAGUCC
This 273-nucleotide ribosomal RNA is filed under the name uncultured bacterium. Its description in RNAcentral is "partial 16S ribosomal RNA". It matches the Rfam family "Bacterial small subunit ribosomal RNA", at positions 524 to 796 of the family's 1533-position model. The record is from RNAcentral.